AGAUUAAACUGAAGAGUUUGAUCCUGGCUCAGAUUGAACGCUGGCGGAAUGCUUUACACAUGCAAGUCGAACGGCAGCACGGGAGCUUGCUCCUGGUGGCGAGUGGCGAACGGGUGAGUAAUGUAUCGGAACGUACCCCGUCGUGGGGGAUAACUCUCCGAAAGGAGAGCUAAUACCGCAUACGACCCGAGGGUGAAAGCGGGGGACCUGGGGUAACCUGGGCCUCGCGCGAUGGGAGCGGCCGAUAUCGGAUUAGCUAGUUGGUGGGGUAAAGGCCUACCAAGGCGACGAUCCGUAGCGGGUCUGAGAGGACGACCCGCCACACUGGAACUGAGACACGGUCCAGACUCCUACGGGAGGCAGCAGUGGGGAAUUUUGGACAAUGGGCGCAAGCCUGAUCCAGCCAUUCCGCGUGAGUGAAGAAGGCCUUCGGGUUGUAAAGCUCUUUCAGCAGGAACGAAACGGUGGGUCUUAAUACGGCCUGCUAAUGACGGUACCUGCAGAAGAAGCACCGGCUAACUACGUGCCAGCAGCCGCGGUAAUACGUAGGGUGCGAGCGUUAAUCGGAAUUACUGGGCGUAAAGCGUGCGCAGGCGGCGAC
Molecule: ribosomal RNA, 601 nt
Filed under: Rugosibacter sp.
Lineage: Bacteria; Pseudomonadati; Pseudomonadota; Betaproteobacteria; Nitrosomonadales; Sterolibacteriaceae
Description: bacterial SSU rRNA
Rfam family: Bacterial small subunit ribosomal RNA
Source: RNAcentral